Long non-coding RNA from Poecilia latipinna (sailfin molly), 1332 nucleotides. RefSeq lists it as uncharacterized. The record is from RefSeq and is a predicted model, not a curated record. The transcript is spliced from 5 exons. Lineage: Eukaryota; Metazoa; Chordata; Actinopteri; Cyprinodontiformes; Poeciliidae.
UGUGAAGUAAAGACAGAAAAUAAAGUUCAGCUUUUUACCUUCAGCUCUCGUCCAUCAGAAAAAGACAAAACUACCCCAUCAGCAGUUACAACUAUAACAGACAAAACAUCAGUCUGUAGAGACGGAGAACCUGCAGACUGGUGGAGGUUCCUCUCUGGUUCUGUGGGUUUAGCUGCUCUGAUAGCAGCUGUUGUGAUCAUCAGCAUCUGGACCAGAACUAAAGGGAGGAAAACACAUCUGGAUGAAAACGCUGUGUGUCAUGAUGAAGAUGAAGCUGCACUGAACUAUGAAAACACCAGAACUUCUUCAGUUUGAUCCUCCUGCUUUUCUCCGACUCAGCAGAUCUAGAAAGUAAACAUCAGCAGGUUUAUCUGUUUUAAUGUUAUCUGUUGUAAUAAAAACUGCUUCAUUUUAAAUAUGUCAGAAUAAGCGUAAGAAGAAUUUAAUGAGCAGAUUAUUUUUCAGAUAAAAUAUCAAUUUUGUUAAUAGAUAAUUCAAAAAAUGAGUUAUUUCCUGGUUUAUUCUGCAGAGCAUCAUGAAUUGAUGAUGUCAUCCUGAUGAGUAAAGCGGUAACUGAACAGUGUGGAGGAUCAUCCUUCUCCAUGCUGAGUUUGUGAUGUAUGAGGUUGAAGAAGUCAGUGAGUUGAAUUCAUGAAGUCCAUUUAUUAAAACCAAAAUACAGCUGGUCCAUAGUUCAUGUUAUCCUUAAGAACAAAAUGGCGUCAAACAAAAGUUUUCCAUUUGUUAGCCUCUUUCUAAGCUACGCCCUAAAAACGGCGUCCCUAGUGUGUCAUAACCUUUAACCUCAGCUUUGAGGGCGUUUCCUAACAUGUCAUUUCCUUUAGUUUUAGCUUUGCAACUAGCUAAAAGAGAAGAAAACGCAGAAUUAUUUAUUCUCAACAGGAACAUAUUUACUGCCACCUAGAGUCAGAUUUACAUCGUCGCUUUGCAUCAGGUUCAUCAGUUGGUUUAUCAUCCAGAGAUCAGAAGUUUCCCUGAGCUCCAGGAGGGAUAGUUAUAGAUCCGCUAUAGAUUUCCACAGAAUGUCGAGUGUAAACAUUUGUCCUUUUAAUUUGCCUUAAGCUGUCAGCAUUUGGUGCAUGAUGUAAUAUGUUAUGCAAAUGUUUUUAAAUUCAUUUGCUUUGCUUUUAUUACUCAAAAUGAGACAUGAUGCUGCCAUUACCAUGCAUAGUUAAUCAUAAAUGUUCUGUUUUUAUCUACUUCUUGGUCUGUUCGCACAUUCCUGCUGAAAAAUGUAGACAAAACUUUUCCAGAGGUUCAAAACUCACUUUUUUAAUAAUUUUUAGAUUAUUUUUUUUCUUUAUGUGUGAA